RNAcentral lists this long non-coding RNA (463 nucleotides) under Hordeum vulgare. RNAcentral describes it as "long non-coding RNA (HVUL_LNC014059)". Lineage: Eukaryota; Viridiplantae; Streptophyta; Magnoliopsida; Poales; Poaceae. The record is from RNAcentral.
UCCGUUUCGGGCUCUGGAGAGGGGAAAUCAUCACCAUAGUCAUCAUCAACCUUCCUCCAUCGACAAUUCCAUGAUGCUCUUCAUCGUUCAUGAGUAAUCUCAUCGUAGGCUUGCUGGACGGUGAUGAGUUGGAUGAGAUCUAUCAUGUAAUCCAGUUAGUUUUGACGGGGAUUGAUCCCAGGUAUCCACUAUGUUCUAGAUUGAUGUUGCUACUACUUGGCUAUGCUUAAUGCUUGUCACUAGGUCCCGAGUGCCAUGAUUUGAGAUCUGAACCUAUUAUGUUGUUGCCAAUAUAUGUGUGUUUUAGAUCCUAUCUUGCAAGUUGUAGUCACCUACUAUGUGUUAUGACCCGGCAACCCCGGAGUGAAAAUAGCCGGAACCACUCCCGGAGAUGACCAUAGUAUGAGGAGUUCAUGUAUUCACCGCGUGCUAAUGCGUUGGUCCGAUUCUUUAUUAAAAGGAG